GCAAGUCGAACGAAGUUCUUCGGAACUUAGUGGCGCACGGGUGAGUAAUGCAUGGGUAACAUGCCUUUUAGAGGGGAAUAACCAUUAAAAACGAUGGCUAAUACCACAUACGCAGUACUUGGUAAUGCAGGUACUGGAAAGGAGGGGAUCUUCGGACCUUCCGCUGAAAGAGUGGCCCAUGUCCCAUUAGCUUGUUGGUGAGGUAAGAGCUCACCAAGGCCGAGAUGGGUAGCUGGUCUGAGAGGACGAUC
Molecule: ribosomal RNA, 251 nt
Filed under: uncultured bacterium
Lineage: Bacteria
Description: partial 16S ribosomal RNA
Rfam family: Bacterial small subunit ribosomal RNA
Source: RNAcentral